This 141-nucleotide ribosomal RNA is filed under the name Takhtajaniantha austriaca. RNAcentral's name for it is "Scorzonera austriaca 5.8S ribosomal RNA". It matches the Rfam family "5.8S ribosomal RNA", at positions 1 to 135 of the family's 154-position model. From Rfam's summary of the family: 5.8S ribosomal RNA (5.8S rRNA) is a component of the large subunit of the eukaryotic ribosome. It is transcribed by RNA polymerase I as part of the 45S precursor that also contains 18S and 28S rRNA. Lineage: Eukaryota; Viridiplantae; Streptophyta; Magnoliopsida; Asterales; Asteraceae. The record is from RNAcentral.
AAACGACUCUCGGCAACGGAUAUCUCGGCUCACGCAUCGAUGAAGAACGUAGCAAAAUGUGAUACUUGGUGUGAAUUGCAGAAUCCCGUGAACCAUCGAGUUUUUGAACGCAAGUUGCGCCCAAAGCCAUCCGGUUGAGGG